AGAGUUUGAUCAUGGCUCAGAACGAACGCUGGCGGCGUGCUUAACACAUGCAAGUCGAGUGCGCGUUCCGGUAGCAAUACCGGGAUGGCGCACGGCGCACGGGUGCGUAACACGUGGGUACAUGCCUUUUGGUGGGGAAUAACUCCGCGAAAGCGGAGCUAAUUCCGCAUAAGAUCCGCAAGGAUGAAAGCCGCGAGGCG
RNAcentral lists this ribosomal RNA (200 nucleotides) under uncultured bacterium. Its description in RNAcentral is "partial 16S ribosomal RNA". It matches the Rfam family "Bacterial small subunit ribosomal RNA", at positions 8 to 217 of the family's 1533-position model. The record is from RNAcentral.